Molecule: microRNA precursor, 170 nt
Filed under: Corchorus capsularis
Lineage: Eukaryota; Viridiplantae; Streptophyta; Magnoliopsida; Malvales; Malvaceae
Description: pre miRNA mir-172
Rfam family: mir-172 microRNA precursor family
About the family: mir-172 has been experimentally verified in Arabidopsis thaliana. This family is thought to target mRNAs coding for APETALA2-like transcription factors. The mature sequence is excised from the 3' arm of the hairpin.
Source: Rfam by way of RNAcentral
GUGUUUGCAGAUGCGGCAUCUUCAAGAUUCACAAACUUUAGUAAGGGCUGCUUUUGGAUCAGGCCAUGGGGGAGAGGGUUAGUUAGUACCCAAUUAUAAUUAAUCAUCCUCCUUUAUUCGAAAGUUGCCUUUGAGAAUGGGAAUCUUGAUGAUGCUGCAUCAGCAUAACA